RNAcentral lists this ribosomal RNA (370 nucleotides) under Acinetobacter baumannii Canada BC-5. RNAcentral's name for it is "bacterial SSU rRNA". It matches the Rfam family "Bacterial small subunit ribosomal RNA", at positions 1112 to 1482 of the family's 1533-position model. Lineage: Bacteria; Pseudomonadati; Pseudomonadota; Gammaproteobacteria; Moraxellales; Moraxellaceae. The record is from RNAcentral.
UACUUGCCAGCAUUUCGGAUGGGAACUUUAAGGAUACUGCCAGUGACAAACUGGAGGAAGGCGGGGACGACGUCAAGUCAUCAUGGCCCUUACGGCCAGGGCUACACACGUGCUACAAUGGUCGGUACAAAGGGUUGCUACACAGCGAUGUGAUGCUAAUCUCAAAAAGCCGAUCGUAGUCCGGAUUGGAGUCUGCAACUCGACUCCAUGAAGUCGGAAUCGCUAGUAAUCGCGGAUCAGAAUGCCGCGGUGAAUACGUUCCCGGGCCUUGUACACACCGCCCGUCACACCAUGGGAGUUUGUUGCACCAGAAGUAGCUAGCCUAACUGCAAAGAGGGCGGUUACCACGGUGUGGCCGAUGACUGGGGUG